RNAcentral lists this ribosomal RNA (497 nucleotides) under uncultured bacterium. RNAcentral describes it as "partial 16S ribosomal RNA". It matches the Rfam family "Bacterial small subunit ribosomal RNA", at positions 28 to 507 of the family's 1533-position model. The record is from RNAcentral.
GAUGAACGCUGGCGGCGUGCCUAAUACAUGCAAGUCGAGCGAACGGACGAGAAGCUUGCUUUUCUGAUGUUAGCGGCGGACGGGUGAGUAACACGUGGAUAACCUACCUAUAAGACUGGGAUAACUUCGGGAAACCGGAGCUAAUACCGGAUAAUAUUUUGAACCGCAUGGUUCAAAAGUGAAAGACGGUCUUGCUGUCACUUAUAGAUGGAUCCGCGCUGCAUUAGCUAGUUGGUAAGGUAACGGCUUACCAAGGCAACGAUGCAUAGCCGACCUGAGAGGGUGACCGGCCACACUGGAACUGAGACACGGUCCAGACUCCUACGGGAGGCAGCAGUAGGGAAUCUUCCGCAAUGGGCGAAAGCCUGACGGAGCAACGCCGCGUGAGUGAUGAAGGUCUUCGGAUCGUAAAACUCUGUUAUUAGGGAAGAACAUAUGUGUAAGUAACUGUGCACAUCUUGACGGUACCUAAUCAGAAAGCCACGGCUAACUACGUG